GGGGGGUAAGAUGUACGCAGUCCAUACCUCUACCUCUGAUGAAGUAGAAAGGCUGUUUCCGAUAGACCCCCGGCUCAAGGCAUGAGAUACCACACAAACACAUAGUAAAGCACAGAAGCAGAUUACAUAACAUAAAUACGGCACCCAUAAGUAAUAUAAAGCAGAGGAAAGCAGGGGAAAGCACACAGAUUCGUAAUACAACAUGGAACAC
RNAcentral lists this long non-coding RNA (211 nucleotides) under Capsicum annuum. RNAcentral's name for it is "long non-coding RNA (CANN_LNC017901)". Lineage: Eukaryota; Viridiplantae; Streptophyta; Magnoliopsida; Solanales; Solanaceae. The record is from RNAcentral.